ACUCCUACGGGAGGCAGCAGUGGGGAAAUUGCGCAAUGGGCGAAAGCCUGACGCAGCCACGCCGCGUGAGCGAUGAAUGCCUUCGGGUCGUAAAGCUCUGUGGGGAGAGAAGAAUAAAGCCUGUGAAGAGCGGGCCUUGACGGUAUCUCCUUAGCAAGCACCGGCUAACUCCGUGCCAGCAGCCGCGGUAAUACGGAGGGUGCGAACGUUGCUCGGAAUCAUUGGGCGUAAAGCGCACGUAGGCGGCGAACAACGUUGGGUGUGAAAGCCCUGGGCUCAACCCAGGAAGUGCAUUCAAAACUACUUCGCUUGAAUCUCGGAGGGGGUCAGAGAAUUCCCGGUGUAGAGGUGAAAUUCGUAGAUAUCGGGAGGAAUACCACUGGCGAAGGCGCUGACCUGGACGAAGAUUGACGCUGAGGUGCGAAAGCGUGGGGAGCAAACAGGAUUACAUACCCUGGUAGUCCACGCUGUAAACGAUGAGUGCUAGACGGUGGAGGUAUUGACCCCUUCGCUGUCGCAGCUAACGCGUUAAGCACUCCGCCUGGGGAGUACGGUCGCAAGACUAAAACUCAAAGGAAUUGACG
Molecule: ribosomal RNA, 584 nt
Filed under: uncultured bacterium
Lineage: Bacteria
Description: bacterial SSU rRNA
Rfam family: Bacterial small subunit ribosomal RNA
Source: RNAcentral